This is an RNA transcript of Gracilinanus agilis (Agile Gracile Mouse Opossum), 2263 nucleotides long. It is a transcript of the gene named siah E3 ubiquitin protein ligase 1, with no coding region annotated. NCBI's taxonomy places the organism in Eukaryota, Metazoa, Chordata, Mammalia, Didelphimorphia, Didelphidae. The transcript has 3 exons. The record is from RefSeq and is a predicted model, not a curated record.
UUCCAUGUCUGGUUACUGGAGGUGUUCGGGAGAUGCCUCUGUUAUGGGUUGUUUGCCUUUCUUCGGGGAGAAGGGAUGAACUCUUUGACUUCCCAUGACGGAGAAACCUACUCUUCAUUUUUUGUAUUCGUGGAAGGGAGUUUUGCUUACAUGUUUACCAGCAUCUAGGACAAGAAAGAGAAAAGAAAUGAGCCGCCAGACUGCUACAGCCCUCCCUACUGGUACUUCCAAGUGUACACCAUCUCAGAGGGUGCCUGCAUUGACUGGCACAACAGCAUCGAACAAUGACUUGGCUAGUCUAUUUGAGUGUCCCGUCUGCUUUGACUAUGUGUUACCCCCUAUUCUUCAAUGUCAGAGCGGCCAUCUUGUUUGUAGCAACUGUCGUCCAAAGCUCACAUGUUGUCCAACUUGCCGAGGCCCGUUGGGGUCCAUUCGCAACUUGGCUAUGGAGAAAGUGGCCAAUUCAGUACUAUUUCCUUGUAAAUAUGCCUCUUCUGGAUGUGAGAUAACUUUGCCACACACAGAAAAAGCAGACCAUGAAGAGCUGUGUGAGUUUAGGCCUUAUUCGUGUCCAUGUCCCGGUGCUUCGUGUAAAUGGCAAGGCUCUUUGGAUGCUGUAAUGCCACAUUUGAUGCAUCAACAUAAGUCUAUUACAACACUACAGGGAGAAGAUAUAGUUUUUCUUGCUACAGACAUUAAUCUUCCUGGUGCUGUUGACUGGGUUAUGAUGCAGUCUUGUUUUGGCUUUCACUUCAUGUUAGUCUUAGAGAAACAGGAAAAAUAUGAUGGUCACCAGCAGUUCUUCGCAAUUGUACAGCUGAUAGGAACACGCAAACAAGCAGAAAAUUUUGCUUAUCGACUUGAGCUAAAUGGUCAUAGACGGCGAUUGACUUGGGAAGCGACUCCUCGAUCUAUUCAUGAGGGAAUUGCAACAGCUAUUAUGAAUAGCGACUGUCUAGUUUUUGACACCAGCAUUGCACAGCUUUUUGCAGAAAAUGGCAAUUUAGGCAUCAAUGUAACUAUUUCCAUGUGUUGAAAGGGCAAUCAAAUGUUUUCAGGCCAGUGUUUAAAAUCUUUGCAUCAUUUAUUUUCACAGAAGAUAAGGUAACCAUCUUUGACUGCCAAAUAUAAACUCUUUUGGUAGGUGGAAACUAGACAUAUGAAGUGAGCCCUGAGUUGGUGAAAAUUAGCUUGACAGCAGUGAGGAAAUAGAUUCUGGUAGAUCAUCACAAAGGAGGAAGUGACACAGCCAGCGGCAUCCAUGUCAGCUCUCUUCACUUGGAUUUCUUUCCUUGGAUAAAGUGCUUCUUAGGACUAAGAGAAGAACCUGUUAACUCCACUCUGUAUACUGACUUUGUCCUAAAAGAAAUGGGAUGAAGACCACCAAUUUGAGGAUCUAAGCCACUUAAUGACAGCAGCAGCUUCAUUACCCUAUAGACUUAAAUUUGUAACAGAUAAGUUAAAAAUUAUUUUAUUCAUCUUGGGAGUGUUGACUGUUUUCUUUUGCUUUCUGUGUAAGAAGGAACUUGCUUUUUUUUUUUUUUUUUUUUUUUUUUUUGGAUAUGAAAACAUUCAGGCUUUAAUGUGCUAAAAUCUCAUUUGCUGAGGAUGAAAUCUUGAUCAGCAUUUCAUUUUUGGUUAUGAAAUUCUGGCUUUAAAUCAGUUGCGUUGCUGUAGAAUCUUUGAAUUGAAUAAAAGUGAAGUAAUUCAAUUAAAUAACUUCUAGCAGUAGAAAGGAGAAUGAGGUUUGUUAGGUGUUUGAUACUUUAUGUAUGCAGUGUAACUCCAAUCGGUCUGGAUUUUUGCUCUAGUCAGCCUGUUUAGACAGUGGCAAUUCUUAAGAGACUGAAUGGCAUAACCUAUUUUGUUUAGAAGAAAUAUGGUAUUAGGUAACAGGUGAGUUGGUGAGAAUCUGAACAUUUUAAUGCUAGGAAUUUAUAAAAUCAUUUUUAUACAGAAAUAUAUAGACUUAGGUAUAUUUCAAUACUGUGAGCUUAUCCAAGGUCAUAUUAUUUAAUGUUAAGUCACUUGUCCCUGAGCUUAUAUCUGAUAUAGCAAAUAGGACUUGAACCUAGUUUUUUUUUUUUUUUUACUUCCUGGCCAGUUUUCUAUCCAGUACACCAGAAGCAUCAAAUUGAAAUAGAAAUAGAAGCCACCAAACUAUAUAUAAGGAUCCCUGCUGGCUGCUAUUGCCUUAGAAAAACACACAGUGUCAUCCAUAUUUUGUUGUAUUUUGUUGAAUGUUUUCAGAUUACAUUUUUUU